AGGACGAACGCUGGCGGCGUGCUUAACACAUGCAAGUCGAGCGGUAAGGCCUUUCGGGGUACACGAGCGGCGAACGGGUGAGUAACACGUGGGUGAUCUGCCCUGCACUCUGGGAUAAGCCUGGGAAACUGGGUCUAAUACCGGAUAUGACCUGCUCUCGCAUGGGGGUGGGUGGAAAGAUUUAUCGGUGCAGGAUGGGCCCGCGGCCUAUCAGCUUGGUUGGUGGGGUAAUGGCCUACCAAGGCGACGACGGGUAGCCGACCUGAGAGGGUGACCGGCCACACUGGGACUGAGACACGGCCCAGACUCCUACGGGAGGCAGCAGUGGGAAUAUGCACAAUGGGCGAAAGCCUGAUGCAGCGACGCCGCGUGAGGAUGAAGGCCUUGGGUUGUAAACCUCUUUCAGCAGGACGAAGCGCAAGUGACGGUACCUGACAGAAGAAGCACGGCUAACACGUGCCAGCAGCCGC
RNAcentral lists this ribosomal RNA (470 nucleotides) under uncultured soil bacterium. RNAcentral describes it as "bacterial SSU rRNA". It matches the Rfam family "Bacterial small subunit ribosomal RNA", at positions 26 to 518 of the family's 1533-position model. The record is from RNAcentral.